UUGAUCCUGGCUCAGGAUGAACGCUAGCGGCAGGCUUAACACAUGCAAGUCGAGGGGUAUUGGUUUUCGGACCAAGAGACCGGCGCACGGGUGCGUAACGCGUAUGCAAUCUACCUUUUACAGAGGGAUAGCCCAGAGAAAUUUGGAUUAAUACCUCAUAGUAUUGCGGAAUGGCAUCAUUCUGUAAUUAAAGUCACAACGGUGAAAGAUGAGCAUGCGUCCCAUUAGCUAGUUGGUAAGGUAACGGCUUACCAAGGCUACGAUGGGUAGGGGUCCUGAGAGGGAGAUCCCCCACACUGGUACUGAGACACGGACCAGACUCCUACGGGAGGCAGCAGUGAGGAAUAUUGGACAAUGGGCGCAAGCCUGAUCCAGCCAUGCCGCGUGCAGGAUGACGGUCCUAUGGAUUGUAAACUGCUUUUGUACAGGAAGAAACAACUCUACGUGUAGAGUCUUGACGGUAUCGUAAGAAU
Molecule: ribosomal RNA, 473 nt
Filed under: Flavobacterium sp. WB4.3-86
Lineage: Bacteria; Pseudomonadati; Bacteroidota; Flavobacteriia; Flavobacteriales; Flavobacteriaceae
Description: bacterial SSU rRNA
Rfam family: Bacterial small subunit ribosomal RNA
Source: RNAcentral